This 888-nucleotide ribosomal RNA is filed under the name Triticum aestivum (bread wheat). Its description in RNAcentral is "partial small subunit ribosomal RNA". The record is from RNAcentral. Lineage: Eukaryota; Viridiplantae; Streptophyta; Magnoliopsida; Poales; Poaceae.
AUGGCGAUGGCCUCCUCCACCACCGCCUCCGUCGCCGCGGCGUCCCUCCGCGCGCUCGCCGGCGCCUCCCCGGCCCCGCCCCCGAAGCCGUUCCUCGUGCUGCUCUCCCCGGCGCCCCCGCGCCGCCUCGGCCUCGGCCUCCGCGCCGCCCGCACGCGCGGCCCGCUCGCCCCGCUCGCCUCCUCCGACUCCUUUUUCGAAACCUCCGCGGCCGUCGACGUAGCCGAGCCGGAGGACGAGGCUCUGGAGGCCGCCGCGGAGGAGGAGCCGGCCGUGGUGGAGGAGGAUGAGGAGGAUGUGGCAGCGGAGGAGGAGGUGGUCGGGGAGUACGUGGAGCCGCCGGAGGAGGCCAAGGUGUACGUCGGCAACCUGCCCUACGACGUCGACAGCGAGCGCCUCGCGCAGCUCUUCGAGCAGGCCGGCGUCGUCGAGGUCUCCGAGGUCAUUUACAACAGGGAAACAGACCAGAGCCGUGGAUUUGGGUUUGUCACCAUGAGUACCAUUGAAGAGGCUGAGAAGGCCGUGGAGAUGUUCCAUCGCUAUGACGUGAAUGGGAGGCUGUUGACUGUAAACAAGGCAGCUCCUAGAGGCGCCCGGGUGGAAAGGCCUCCCCGUGAUUCCGGGUCUUCAUUCAGGAUCUACGUGGGCAACCUGCCAUGGCAAGUGGACGACUCUAGGUUGGUAGAGCUGUUCAGCGAGCACGGCAAAGUUGUCGAUGCCAGGGUUGUCUACGACAGAGACACUGGGCGCUCACGGGGAUUUGGUUUCGUGACAAUGGCAUCGCAGCCGGAACUUGAUGAUGCCAUCGCUGCCCUCGAUGGACAGAGCUUGGAGGGGCGUGCUCUGCGGGUGAACGUCGCGGAGGAGCGGCCACCGCGGAGGUUCUAA